UAUGUAGGGGGCAAGCGUUGUCCGGAAUUAUUGGGCGUAAAGAGCGUGUAGGCGGUCCGGUAAGUCAGCUGUGAAAGUCAAGGGCUCAACCCUUGAAAGCCGGUUGAUACUGUCGGGCUAGAGUCCGGAAGAGGCGAGUGGAAUUCCCGGUGUAGCGGUGAAAUGCGCAGAUAUCAGGAGGAACACCGGUGGCGAAGGCGGGUCUCUGGGCCGAUACUGACGCUGAGGAGCGAAAGCGUGGGGAGCGAACAGG
RNAcentral lists this ribosomal RNA (253 nucleotides) under uncultured bacterium. RNAcentral describes it as "partial 16S ribosomal RNA". It matches the Rfam family "Bacterial small subunit ribosomal RNA", at positions 524 to 776 of the family's 1533-position model. The record is from RNAcentral.